This 441-nucleotide ribosomal RNA is filed under the name uncultured bacterium. Its description in RNAcentral is "bacterial SSU rRNA". It matches the Rfam family "Bacterial small subunit ribosomal RNA", at positions 28 to 511 of the family's 1533-position model. The record is from RNAcentral.
GAUGAACGCUGGCGGUAUGCUUAACACAUGCAAGUCGAACGGAAUCUUUAGGGAUUUAGUGGCGGACGGGUGAGUAACGCGUAAGAAUCUACCUUCAGGUUCGGGACAACCACUGGAAACGGUGGCUAAUACCGAAUGUGCCGAGAGGUGAAAGGCUUGCUGCCUGAAGAAGAGCUUGCGUCUGAUUAGCUAGUUGGUGUGGUAAGGGCGCACCAAGGCGACGAUCAGUAGCUGGUCUGAGAGGAUGAUCAGCCACACUGGGACUGAGACACGGCCCAGACUCCUACGGGAGGCAGCAGUGGGGAAUUUUCCGCAAUGGGCGAAAGCCUGACGGAGCAAUACCGCGUGAGGGAGGAAGGCUCUUGGGUUGUAAACCUCUUUUCUCUAGGGAAGAAAAAAUGACGGUGCCUGAGGAAUAAGCAUCGGCUAACUCCGUGCCAG